Long non-coding RNA from Corticium candelabrum, 1044 nucleotides. RefSeq lists it as uncharacterized. The record is from RefSeq and is a predicted model, not a curated record. NCBI's taxonomy places the organism in Eukaryota, Metazoa, Porifera, Homoscleromorpha, Homosclerophorida, Plakinidae. The transcript has 3 exons.
CACAUUAUUAAUAAUAUUUACGUACAAUAAUUGCAAGGCAUUUCACACUAUGUCUUACCUCUGUACAUGCGCAAUAGUGCUUCAUUAGCAUAGUCUAACAAUGGCCGCAAAACGAUUUGUACUGUUUCUAUUACUUGCGAGCAGUUUGUUCCUAGAAGACACUCUUUCUAAACCAGGGAGGAAGAAAGGCAAACCAUCCAAGGACAAACAAAACAAUGAUGACUGCAAAGGCAAGAAAUGCUCCUAACCAAAGAAAUGCUCUGUUGGUUAGUGGUAGCAUCCGGUUUGUGUAUAUAGUAUCUCUACCAACUGUGUAUGUCUUAAACACAUGUGUUACAUAAUCUAUAGAAUACACCUCCGAACAGAUACAAAACCAAUUGGCUCUGACUCCUCGGUUUACAAACAUACGUCGCUAUUCUUUUGAGAACUAUCGCAGCACAGAAGAGGUAAUUAUAGAAAAGGGCAACAGGACUGCCGGAUCACACAUCUACUACCUAAUCCACGCGAGCUCUCCACUUGAUCUGUACCACCAGCUGUUGUCCGACCAAGUACGGUACUUCUACAUGGGAGAUCCCGUCAAGAUUCUCGAAUUGAACAACAACGUAUCCUGUCAUAUUGUUGAGACCGUAUUGGAAGACGAUAUCUUGGCUGGUCAAAACGUCAUGCAUGUACUGGAGAGGAAUACUUGGAUGACAGCGCUGAGAAUCGAAGGUGGCCCGUGUGGAUGGAGUCUGAUUGGAAUGAAUGUGAGCCCUGGCUUCGAGUUCGAAGAUUUGCAAAUGGUUAAUAGAACGGAGUUGAUUUCGUUGUUUCCUGAGGCAGAGCAAAGUAUCAUUCGUCUGACAGAAAACAAUGGAUAAAUUCGAUUGACUGAAGAGCAUGUAUAUGGCCACGUAUAUAUAUAGACGAGUUUGCUUUUGCUUUUAAAUCUUUUGUGAUUUCCAGACGAGUUGUAUAACUGCUUCUGCUAUGCAAAUUGCAAAACGUUGUUGUAACACAUUUAGCAAUUCUCUGAUUUGGUGGUUUCAUCGUAAUAAAUAAUCA